AAGAGUUCCUGGUCUGCUGGCAUCAACACCCAAUGAGGAGUGCCUACCACAGUGCUUCAUUGGGGCAAUAGAAGUGGGAUCCUUGCCUGCAUCUACAUACCAGCAGGAGCCAUGGCAUGGUGAGGUACAUGUGCAUUGGCAGGGGUGGGCCAUGGGUGAGGGUGGGAGGCCAGCAUCCAUGCACAUGCUCACACUGGCAACAGCGGUGCAGCAAGGUGCCCACAUAUUGGUGGGGUGGCAUGCCCAUGGGGGCUUGGCAGAAUUAUCCAUACAAGCACAUUUGUGUCAGUGGCAGUGGAGCAAUGUAGUGUGUGCAUGCAUGCUGGUGGAGAAGACGAGGCAAAGUCCACCUGCGUGUUCCAGCAAAACAGUGUAUGGGGCAGGCGUUGGUGAGCGUGCAUCUGCAAAGUGCACGCUGCGUUGCAUCUGCACGAGCGUGCAUCUGCCAAGUGCACAAAGGCGUUGGUGAGCGUGCGUCUGCAAAGUGGUGGGGGGAAGGCUGCAAUGGAGAGAGGCUGCAGAUGGGUAGUUGCAUGUCUGCAUGAUAGGGGGUGCUGAUAGUCAGGCACAGUCUCCCAGUGAAGGAACUAUUAUGAUGGCCUCAGGAGCACCUUGGUUGGGCAUUCAAGGCUGUGCGCAAGUGGCUAUAGCAAGGCUGGGGUCCCAGGAAAGGCCAGGAGACAGUGGGGCACUGAGAUCAGACUGCCCCCAUCCUACUGGAAAAUAUUGAAAACAUUCCCUUUAAAAUGCCUUUAGGGUAGGUCCAAGUGCAGUGGUGUUUACAAUUAAUUGCUCACAGCCAGUUACAGAUUUCUUUUUCCUUCUCCACUGCCUCUGGCUUUUCUAAUAUUUAUUUUUUGGAUUGACAAAUAAUAAUUGUACACAUUAAUGGGGUACAUAGUAAUGUUCAACACACGUGAUGUAUAGUGAUCAGAUUGGGGUAAUUAACAUAUUCAUUAUCUUGAACAUUUAUUAUUUCUUUUUGCUGGGAACAUUCAAUGUCUUCCUUCUAGCCAUUAAAAAUUAUAUAUUAUUAACUACACUCAUGCUAUAGUGAUACGGAACCUUAGAACUUAUUCCUCCUAUCUAGCUACAGUGUUGUAUUCUUUAACAAAUAUCUCCUUAUCCGCCAUUUCUCUCUACCUUUCCUGGCCUCUAGUAUCCUCUGUUCUGCUUUUUACUUUUAUAACUUCAACUUUUUUUAGUGUCUGCCUAUGAGUGAGAACAUGCAGUGUUUAACUUUUUAUUCCUGGUUUCUUUCUUUUCUUUUUUUUUUUUCUUACAUGAAAGCAAGUUCAUUAAAGGAAUAAAUGAUGACUACUCCAUAAGCAGAGCAGCAGCAUGGGCUGCUCGUUGGCUAUUUUAUGGUUAUUUCUUGAUUAUAUGCUAAACAAGGGGUGGAUUAUUCACGAGUUUUCCAGGAAAGGGGUGGGCAAUUCCCAAAGUUGAGAGUUCCUCCCCUUUUUAGACCACAUAGAGCAACCUCUGGAUGUUGCCAUGGCAUCUGUAAAGUGUCAUGGCGCUUGUAGGAGUGUCUUUUAGCAUUCUUAUGCGUUAUAAUUAGCAUAUAACGAGCAGUGA
Molecule: long non-coding RNA, 1581 nt
Filed under: Homo sapiens (human)
Lineage: Eukaryota; Metazoa; Chordata; Mammalia; Primates; Hominidae
Description: HSALNT0113056
Source: RNAcentral